This 377-nucleotide ribosomal RNA is filed under the name uncultured organism. RNAcentral describes it as "partial 16S ribosomal RNA". It matches the Rfam family "Bacterial small subunit ribosomal RNA", at positions 524 to 896 of the family's 1533-position model. The record is from RNAcentral.
GGGGGGGGGGGCAAGCGUUGUUCGGAAUUACUGGGCGUAAAGGGCGCGCAGGCGGGCCCGGCCAGUCCCUUGCGAAAUCCCACGGGCUCAACUGUGGAACUGCAGGGGAUACUGCCAGGCUUGAGUCCGGGAGAGGGUAGUGGAAUUCCCAGUGUAGCGGUGAAAUGCGUAGAUAUUGGGAGGAACACCGGUGGCGAAGGCGGCUACCUGGACCGGUACUGACGCUGAGGCGCGAAAGCUAGGGGAGCAAACGGGAUUAGAUACCCCGGUAGUCCUAGCUGUAAACGUUGAGCACUUGGUGUGGUGGGUAUCGACCCCUGCUGUGCCGAAGCUAACGCAUUAAGUGCUCCGCCUGGGGAGUACGGUCGCAAAGGCUG